This 665-nucleotide ribosomal RNA is filed under the name Salmonella enterica subsp. enterica serovar Kambole. RNAcentral's name for it is "partial 23S ribosomal RNA". It matches the Rfam family "Bacterial large subunit ribosomal RNA", at positions 711 to 1288 of the family's 2925-position model. Lineage: Bacteria; Pseudomonadati; Pseudomonadota; Gammaproteobacteria; Enterobacterales; Enterobacteriaceae. The record is from RNAcentral.
AGACCCGAAACCCGGUGAUCUAGCCAUGGGCAGGUUGAAGGUUGGGUAACACUAACUGGAGGACCGAACCGACUAAUGUUGAAAAAUUAGCGGAUGACCUGUGGCUGGGGGUGAAAGGCCAAUCAAACCGGGAGAUAGCUGGUUCUCCCCGAAAGCUAUUUAGGUAGCGCCUCGUGAAUUCAUCUCCGGGGGUAGAGCACUGUUUCGGCCAGGGGGCCAUCCCGGCUUACCAACCCGAUGCAAACUGCGAAUACCGGAGAAUGUUAUCACGGGAGACACACGGCGGGUGCUAACGUCCGUCGUGAAGAGGGAAACAACCCAGACCGCCAGCUAAGGUCCCAAAGUCAUGGUUAAGUGGGAAACGAUGUGGGAAGGCCCAGACAGCCAGGAUGUUGGCUUAGAAGCAGCCAUCAUUUAAAGAAAGCGUAAUAGCUCACUGGUCGAGUCGGCCUGCGCGGAAGAUGUAACGGGGCUAAACCAUGCACCGAAGCUGCGGCAGCGAACGUAUCACCCAAGACAACUUUGCACAGUUGACGAUUGACGGAGCGAAGCGACGUCAAAGCGUUUUACAACGUCGAGUUGGCUUAGGGAUACGUUCGUUGGGUAGGGGAGCGUUCUGUAAGCCUGUGAAGGUGUGUCGUGAGGCAUGCUGGAGGUAUCAGAAG